CUAAACGACUCUCGGCAACGGAUAUCUCGGCUCUCGCAUCGAUGAAGAACGUAGCGAAAUGCGAUACUUGGUGUGAAUUGCAGAAUCCCGCGAACCAUCGAGUCUUUGAACGCAAGUUGCGCCCGAAGCCAUUAGGUUGAGGGCACGUCUGCCUGGGCGUCUCA
RNAcentral lists this ribosomal RNA (164 nucleotides) under Camellia japonica. RNAcentral describes it as "5.8S ribosomal RNA". It matches the Rfam family "5.8S ribosomal RNA". From Rfam's summary of the family: 5.8S ribosomal RNA (5.8S rRNA) is a component of the large subunit of the eukaryotic ribosome. Lineage: Eukaryota; Viridiplantae; Streptophyta; Magnoliopsida; Ericales; Theaceae. The record is from RNAcentral. RNAcentral also lists the same sequence under 1 other name.